AUUGAACGCUGGCGGCAUGCUUUACACAUGCAAGUCGAACGGUAACAGGCCUUCGGGUGCUGACGAGUGGCGAACGGGUGCGUAAUGCAUCGGAACGUACCCAGAGGUGGGGGAUAACGCAGCGAAAGCUGUGCUAAUACCGCAUGUGAUCUGAGGAUGACAGCGGGGGACCGCGCAGCAAUGUUUGGCCUCGCGCCUUUGGAGCGGCCGAUGUCGGAUUAGCUAGUUGGCGGGGUAAAGGCCUACCAAGGCGACGAUCCGUAGCUGGUCUGAGAGGACGACCAGCCACACUGGGACUGAGACACGGCCCAGACUCCUACGGGAGGCAGCAGUGGGGAAUUUUGGACAAUGGGCGCAAGCCUGAUCCAGCAAUGCCGCGUGGGGGAAGAAGGCCUUCGGGUUGUAAAGCGCUUUUGGCGGGAACGAAACGGUGUCCGCUAAUACCGGGCGCUAAUGACGGUACCUGCAGAAUAAGCACCGGCUAACUACGUG
RNAcentral lists this ribosomal RNA (492 nucleotides) under uncultured bacterium. RNAcentral's name for it is "partial 16S ribosomal RNA". It matches the Rfam family "Bacterial small subunit ribosomal RNA", at positions 29 to 507 of the family's 1533-position model. The record is from RNAcentral.